This 284-nucleotide long non-coding RNA is filed under the name Capsella rubella. RNAcentral's name for it is "long non-coding RNA (CRUB_LNC004926)". Lineage: Eukaryota; Viridiplantae; Streptophyta; Magnoliopsida; Brassicales; Brassicaceae. The record is from RNAcentral.
ACGGAAUGAUUUACCUGUGUUGUAAUACUGAAUUAAAAUAUUUUAAAUUUCUAUGAAUGUAGAUUCAAACAUAUCCCACCAUAUAACCAUGUCACGUUGUAUUUUGCAUUUUUAUAAGAUUGAUGUUUAUAAUUUUUUUAGUUUUUUUUUAAAAUCAUUAUAUUCUGUGUAAUUAAACAAUACACCGUGGAACAAUUUACUAUUGAUUUACCUUGUGGUACACCAUAUCUCCAUUUCCUUUUAAUUUUAUAUGUAAUAUUCAUGAUUUUGUGUUAUAAAAUAAU